Molecule: RNA transcript, 2443 nt
Organism: Populus trichocarpa (black cottonwood)
Lineage: Eukaryota; Viridiplantae; Streptophyta; Magnoliopsida; Malpighiales; Salicaceae
Gene name: protein PIN-LIKES 2
Exons: 2
Source: RefSeq, a predicted model, not a curated record
GACAUAUCGACACCCAGCCAAAUCAAAGAUGAACACAGACUCCAUAUUGCUGUCGUAGUUUAUUGCUUUAACGACCAUAGAAUUAAUCACGAUCAUCAAUCCUUCUAGUACACUCUCUCUCUUUUUAGGCUGUUCUUUAUUUACCAGCCUGUGUGAACGUGACCGCUCAACCUCGAACUUGUGUAUCUUUCUUCAACUUUCCUAUCAAGAUUUUCAGUCUCCGUUUCGUUAGGAUGUUAAAUUAUAGCUUUGGGAUCAGACCCACAUUAGUUCCUUAUACAUGAUAAUAGUGGGGUUUAAGGGGUUUUUUUUUAUAACUUUUGUGAAGUUUGUUGGGAUUUUCCUUCUAUGAUUGCAUUGUUUGAUAAAACCAAGUUUUGCAUGAUUUGACCAGCUGAUUGACAGAAACCCUUUGGUAUGAACCUCUUAUGUUUGCUUUUCCUUGUCCUGUAAAGCUGUUUUGGAACUUGUGUGGUUCAAUCCCUUGUUACUUUUGGAUUUGCAGGAGUGUGUGAAAGUGAAGAUAAAGAUGGAAGUUUAUCUUGCUUCGGUUCAGAAAAAUAUGAAAUCUGAAGGAGAGAUUGUGGAAGCUGCAAUUGUACCUCUGUUGAAACUUAUAGCCCUUACUCUCUUUGGUUUAAUCCUUGCUCACCCAAAAAUUCAACUUGUCCCUAAAGCUACUUUCAAGCUCCUUAGCAAGCUUGUUUUUGCUUUGUUCUUGCCUUGCUUAAUAUUCACCCAGCUUGGUCCAUCCAUUACUCUCAAGAACAUUGUUCAGUGGUGGUUCAUUCCUGUAAAUGUGAUCAUUAGCACUGCCAUUGGUUGCAUAUUGGGAUGCUUGGUGGCGAUUAUAUGCCGGCCACCAAGGGAGUUUGUUCGGUUCACAAUCAUCAUGACUGCAUUUGGCAACACUGGCAAUAUUCCACUUGCAAUAGUUUCAUCGGUGUGUCACAGUUCUGAUGCUCCUUUUGGUCCCGAUUGUUACGGAAAUGGUAUUGCUUAUGUAUCUUUUUCUCAAUGGGUUUCUGUUAUUCUUGUUUACACUCUUGUUUACCACAUGAUGGAGCCCCCAUUGGAGCAGCAUGAGAUUGUUGAUGAAGAGAUUCAGGAAAUGCCUGUUGAUCUCAGCAAUCCACUCCUUGUAGAAGCUGAGUGGCCAGGAAUAGAAGAAAAGGAAACAGAAAAUAGCAAGACACCUUUCAUUGCUAGGCUCUUCAACAGCAUCUCUAACAUUUCACGAACAAAUAUUCCAGAUAUUGAAACAAUAGAAGAGGGAGGAAAGGAGGGAGGUGAACGUAAUCCCGAGUCCAUUAGGUGCUUGGCAGAGCCUAGGGUGGUUAGAAAGAUUAGAGUUGUUGCUGAACAAACACCAAUUCAUCAAAUUCUCCAGCCUCCAACCAUUGCUUCUUUCUUAGCUAUUGUCAUUGGUGUGAUUCCUGCUCUCAAACAUAUUGUUUACGGUGCUGAUGCUCCUCUUCAGGUUAUCACAGACAGUUUAGAUAUGAUGGCUCAGGCCGCAGUCCCCUCAGUCAUGCUUGUUCUUGGGGGAAUGAUUGGUGAGGGUCCAAAUGAAUCGAAACUUGGGAUUCGGACCACGAUUGGCAUUAUUGUUGCAAGGCUUUUGGUGCUUCCAUUUAUUGGAAUUGGGGUCAUCUAUUUGGCUGGUAAAUGGAAUCUUUUAAUCCCCGGGAACCAUUUGUACCAGUUUGUUCUUUUGCUGCAAUACACAACACCUAGUGCCAUUUUGUUGGGAGCUAUUGCAAGCUUGAGAGGUUAUGCAGUCAAAGAGGCUUCAGCACUUAUCUUCUGGCAGCAUGUGUGCGCCGUCGUCUCUCUUUCAAUAUAUAUGAUUGUCUACUUCAAGCUGCUGCUUUCAUAUAUCUAAGGUUCUUAAACCUCCAUGUUUGAUGUUUCCCAAAUACAUUUAUGCACUAGAUUUUUUUCCAGCCGAGGAAGGCAUUUGAGGGUGGCCAAGUCAUUAAUUUAAUUAUAUGGACGUUCGAGGGCUGAUUUCAGUCAUAAUAUUUGAUCAUACUGGAUUGAUCAACGGGAUGAUUCAAUUGCUUUCUGCAGUGUCUGCUGCAACCUCCGGAGAAUAAAUUCUUGCUUGAUAAUGUGAUUUUGGCUAAUCUUAUCUUACCAGAUUUAUCAAGGGCCUUUUGCUAUGUUUACCAGCACACAUUGCCUUGCGCAAGGCAAAAUGCAUCAGGCAGUUGAACAUCAAACUAGCUUAUAUAACAUGGUGGCCUUCAAGGUAAUCAAAUCCCAUGUGAGAGUGAUCGAAGUUUUAACAAUGAAUGAGUAAAUGCUACUCCUUGAGCCAAUUUAAUGUAAAUUAAUAAAGAAUUAAGACUUGUAAGUUGGCUUUCCACUGAUAAUAAACAAUAAAUAUUUGAUGCUUCACUUGAGGGUAAUCAAAUCCCACAUGAGAGAUUGAAGUUUA